CCUUGAUGUAGAUGUCUCAUAGCUCACAAAGGAGCAGGGCUAUUUAAAUAUUCAGGGAGCAAGCAGUGCCAGUGAGAGCAGAAGAGACCUUCCCCUUUAAAUGGGUGAAGGCCCAAUCUGCUCCAAAUGUAAAGAGGGAAAGGAGACAAGAAACCUGCUGUGGAAUAGGGUACGUGGCAAAACUCAAAGAGAGAUCUGAGAAGGACAGAAAGCAGGCAAAUCUCAAAAAUGUCUACUACUAAAAAAUCUGGGAAAAUUAUUAGUAAUAAAAUGAAAAAUGGAGCAGUAAUGCAAAAUCCCAUUGCUCUGCCCCGUUAUUGUGGCCCAAUUUCUGAUUAGAAGGAUUGGCAGUUCAUAUCAAUCAAACCUUUAAUUUUUUCUUCCCUUAUUUUUCCCGUUCUCCUCCUACGAUUAAGUUACAAGGAAUUUAUUUUAUUACUUAGGCACAAGUACAGUUUGAAAAAAAAAAAAAUAACAAUAAGGUAAUUUUUGUCUUUUUUCUCAUCAUGAAAUUAUUAUUCCUGGGGUUUUCUGUACCUACAGUGGGAAUAGGAGCCAAGACUCUCCUGUCAGAGCUUGCUACUAAUCCAUCAUGGUGUUGGAGAGUGAGAGGAUAGGCAGUGGUGAACAUGUUCCAGAUUGAAUAUAAGGAGAUAUAAAUUGAAUUCAUGGUUGCAUUUAUAAGGACAUAUCUGAUAAGGGCUUUGGGCCUUUGGGAGAGAGUGAGCGUUUCUCUUCAUAACACUGUAACCUUAAUCUACAGAGGAUCUUCCUUACGUUUUUUCUUAAAAUUUAACUGCGGAGCCUUAAUGGAUGUCACAUUUAGANNNNNNNNNNNNNNNNNNNNNNNNNNNNNNNNUGUGCAAAGCUGUUUGUCUCCCAGUCAGAGGCAAAUGGGAACGGCUGCUGGCAUGCCAAAGCAUUGCACUGAAGGAGACAGUCUGCAGGUAUUAGCUGGAGUGGCAAGAGCAUGGUCUGCCAAGGAACUUCUUCUGGAUAUGUCAUAUAGCAGGCAGAUGACAUUCUUCCAGAAGGUCUGAUGUCAGAUGCGCAGCAGCUCCGGCUAUGAUGUCACGCUGAGCACUCUGCAGCAGCCGGCACAGAAUGUGCGUGAGACCUGGCAGGCUGCUAGAUGGUGGCUCCCACGCUCUCUUACACUUGCAAGUUCUGAAUUUUCUUUUUGCGCAACCAUAUGAGAAUUCUUGCUAUGAGUUAAAGGAAAAGAGUUUUCUCAACUAAUAAAAAUCACAAGAAUGACA
RNAcentral lists this long non-coding RNA (1259 nucleotides) under Phasianus colchicus (ring-necked pheasant). RNAcentral describes it as "lncRNA (ENSPCLG00000021257.1)". The record is from RNAcentral. Lineage: Eukaryota; Metazoa; Chordata; Aves; Galliformes; Phasianidae.